RNAcentral lists this ribosomal RNA (512 nucleotides) under Libnotes perkinsi. Its description in RNAcentral is "partial 16S ribosomal RNA". It matches the Rfam family "Bacterial large subunit ribosomal RNA", at positions 1825 to 2597 of the family's 2925-position model. Lineage: Eukaryota; Metazoa; Arthropoda; Insecta; Diptera; Limoniidae. The record is from RNAcentral.
GUCUUUUUGAAAAUAAAUUUAAAGUCUGACCUGCCCACUGAAAUUUUUAAAGGGCCGCGGUAUUUUGACCGUGCAAAGGUAGCAUAAUCAUUAGUUUUUUAAUUGAAAGCUUGUAUGAAUGGUUGGACGAAAUACUUACUGUCUCAUAAAAAUUUAAAAUAGAAAUUAAUUUUUUUAUUAAAAAGUAAAAAUAAAAUUAAAAGACGAGAAGACCCUAUAGAGCUUUAUAAUUUAAUAUUUAUAGAUUUUUAAGAAUUUUUUUAUUUUUAAAUAUUAAAUUAUUUUGUUGGGGUGACAAUAAAAUUUAAUAAACUUUUAUUUUAUACAAACAUUGAUUUAUGAAUAUUUGAUCCUUUAUUAAUGAUUAAAAAUUUAAGUUACCUUAGGGAUAACAGCGUAAUUUUUUUUGAGAGUUCAUAUCGACAAAAAAGAUUGCGACCUCGAUGUUGGAUUAAGAAUUAUUUUUAGGUGUAGAAGUUUAAAGUUUAGGUCUGUUCGACCUUUGAAUUCUU